Long non-coding RNA from Strongylocentrotus purpuratus (purple sea urchin), 2181 nucleotides. RefSeq lists it as uncharacterized. The transcript is spliced from 2 exons. The record is from RefSeq and is a predicted model, not a curated record. NCBI's taxonomy places the organism in Eukaryota, Metazoa, Echinodermata, Echinoidea, Camarodonta, Strongylocentrotidae.
CACGUAUUACCUCCCUUAUAUUAGCUAGCGACUCGCACUCAAACACACCCUACACCUAUACGCACGCAUCUAUAGUUCUGAUGUUGCGUUAUUCUCAGUGAUACUCUGUUUAUGCCCUGGCCUGCUCCGGCCGGGGUUAGCUCAAACACUAAUGUAAAUUGUAACAUUUUUUUCACAAGGUUAUUUUUUAGGUCUAUGCCAUUCAGAUAUUUGAUUCGAUGUACAACUUUGACUAUUUUAUAGUAUGUACGAACGAGCGUUUGAAACGGAAUCGCUACAGCAAUGACUUUGUCUUCUCCAUAUUUCCAUAUGUGUGGGGUGGGGUAGGGUAGUAAAAAAAGAUAUCCAUGGCACAAGAAAGUUAUUCAAAGUAUCUAUCAUUUAUCUAUUAACUCUAAUGCUGCAUUGAUAUUUCGAACUCUUAUCAUUUCUUUUCACUACCAUCCGACUUCACACAGCAUCCUCUCCACCUUCAGGUUCCAUAGCAACUGUCGCAGGAAGCGCUGUUGGUGCUAUUGUUGUGAUUGUUAUCGUAAUAAUUCUCAUCAUCUUUUACAAGCGAAGAAGCGAUGAAUCAGCCACUACUAAGUCUGAAGGAAAGGAGUCCGAUUCGUCUCCGCAGUAUGAGAACCCUGUAUUUGAUCCGUCAAAGACAGAAGUUCAUACCUACCAAGACCUGAAUACCGACCCUAAUACCUACCAAGAUAUCGGUACCGAUGGUAAUACCUAUCAGGAUCUGAAGGAACCUGAUCAAGAAGCUAACUACGAAGCAUUGAAUGACGCCAACGUACCAGGCAUUUAAACAAUACUAUAAUGAAACACUAAACAAGGUCUUAAUGUGCUGGUUAAGAUAUUUUUUUUUAAUUUUAAUUUGUUGCAUAUAUAUGUCGGUGUAUCAAUCAUUCUGUGAAGAUGCCUUUAAAACUUAUCGUGAAAUAUUAAAGUUUAUCUUAAUAACUGAAAGAAAAGCUAUGCUGAUGAACUUGGGCGUUUCCUUUCAUGUACCCAAUCAGGAUACCAUGACGAAAAGUUGUCAAAACCUAUCAUAGCUUUUUUCUUCUUCGUCCCGUGCUCCUCUUUUUAUGUUAUCAUUUACCAUGUCUAUUCGCAUUAUUCCAAAAUCUUUUGAUAUUGGGGAUCAGUUGAAAUACCAUGAUUAACACAUGUCUGAUGAAUUUGGGUAAAAUAGUUGUUGACAUUAGGUCACACCACUACAUGAAAGUCAGGGUAUGGGAUUAUAGUUUCUUUAAAUGGAUAUAUAUAGUUAUCUUCUUUCACUGAAGUUUGUUUCCUACUGUCGUUUUCUGAAUAAUGUAAAUGAUGUAUACAAAAAACAUGAAUCUUACAUCAUGGAGCACCAAAAUAUAUUUCUAUUUUUUAAAUUGUAUUUUACGAUUUUAGUUUGAAUGAUUCAAUGCAGGUGCAAAUUGUAUGGGAAAAUGUAUUGAGUCAUGUAUAUAUACGUAUGCCAUAAAGUACGAAUGCAUAUUCCAUCAUGUUAAUCGUGUUUUGAGAUAUCAGUAGGACAAUAUAAUAUUCGACUGUACUUUUUAUCUGUAUUGAUCACUAAUGUUAUUGCCUGUUAUUGCUGGUGGAAAACAUAAUUAACACAUUCUUGUACAAGAAUUAAUAGAUAAUUAAUUGUUAUUAUUAUCAUAGUUAUUGUUAUUAUUACUACGACUACGACUACUAAGCAGUGAAAUUCAUGUUGGUUAAUAUGUCGACGCGAACGUGUAAGGAUGUCAACGAUUAAAUAUGAAAAUAUAAGUUUUGAAUAUAGACAUAGACUAUGCAUAAUAAAAUAAACUUGUAUUGUAUUGUAUUUAUUAAGCGUUAUUGAUGUACAUUAAUAAUCUUUUUAUAGACAUAUAAAUCAUAUAAACCAGUUUACAAUGCAACGUAGCAAAUCAAUUUUCUGUUUGUAAACAUAUAUAUCAUAUAAAUCAAUUUACAAUGCAGUGUAGCAUUGUAUUAUGUAAGGCUGUAUAUUUAAGUAAAGAUUAGAUAGUAGCAUUAAAAGUUAAUUAAAGUUAGAUAAUGCAAUCCAAGUGGAUGUAUAAACAUAAUUAUGAGCAGGGGAUUUCGGGGCACAUAUUAAAUGUGAAUACUGAUAGAUAUACUUAUAAAAUGCACAAUAUGUAAACAUGAAAGUAGUAUGACAAUAAAGAAUACCAAAAGAAA